CAAAGGAAAAAAGUAGAGACACGAUAGGGAGGAGCGAGAGAUGCAUACUGGCAUCGACAACAAUGGAAUGAUUCCGAUGGUGAUAGAUGGCACGGAAGAGAACUCACAGUUGCAGCACCGAGAGCGGCCAGCAACGGUCUUGGUGCGAUGAUUCUGUAUGCUCUGCUUAUGUAAAGCUUCUUUGUCUGGUGUGGAGUUGUUGAUGCAGAAAAUCCAGAACCUCAUUGUUGUUGUCGGGAUUCUAUUUGCAUUUCGCUAAAAGAGUAAUUUAGAAACUAAGGCAAAAGAAGUUCUUGCUGUGUAGCUACUGUGGAAGGUUUCCAUAAUAUCUAUAA
This is a non-coding RNA of Arachis ipaensis, 335 nucleotides long. Lineage: Eukaryota; Viridiplantae; Streptophyta; Magnoliopsida; Fabales; Fabaceae. The record is from RefSeq and is a predicted model, not a curated record.